UAAAUUUGCAUUUAGAAUGUAAAAGUUACAAAGAAAUUGAAAAGGUUCACCGAUUCAUACAUCUUUCUCGAGUAACUCAUUUCUCGCCUUAACAUGGAUACUUUGAGUGUUUGAGAUUUUGUGUAAAUGAAUUGUGACCCCUAUUUCGACUAUACAUACUUCUAUUUAUAGAAAACUAAAUAACGUCUAUCUUAACGUUAAACUCCUAAACUUCAGCCACAUGUCCUUUU
Molecule: long non-coding RNA, 230 nt
Filed under: Trifolium pratense (red clover)
Lineage: Eukaryota; Viridiplantae; Streptophyta; Magnoliopsida; Fabales; Fabaceae
Description: long non-coding RNA (TPRA_LNC005170)
Source: RNAcentral